CUCCAGUACAGGCUCGGAGAACAGCUGUGUUAGACUUCAGACAUGCCAACAGACCCCAAGCACUAGAUGCAACAUGCUCAAACCCCAGAACUUGACACCAGGAAAGAAAAGGGGGAUUUCCUACAUUUCUCCCAACUCCUCCUCUAGGAAGAUCUUGAGGAAAGUCCCUACUUACCUGUCUUGGAAUCAGCAGUGAGCUGAAUAACGUAGGCAGACAACUUACCCUUGAGGAGUCCAAGUUCCCCCAUCUGUAAAUGCAGACUGAUAUCAGCAGUUAACUCACAGGGCUGGGAGGCUUCAAAAGGUAAUUCUUAUAGAGAUCUCAGUGGACUGUUGGAGUGUGCAAACCCUCCAUUAAAGUCAGCUUACAGUAAA
Molecule: long non-coding RNA, 375 nt
Organism: Peromyscus eremicus (cactus mouse)
Lineage: Eukaryota; Metazoa; Chordata; Mammalia; Rodentia; Cricetidae
Exons: 2
Source: RefSeq, a predicted model, not a curated record